GCUUUCCGCUAACUACCACCGUCCUGCCGGGUUCCACACAGGCUGCUGCUGCAGUGGGGCAAACUUGAAAGGCUGAAGGCCUCUUCCACCGCAGACCUCUCACCUUGCCAGGAAAGAGGACUAAAAGGCAAAGGUAACCACGGCCCCAAAGGAGGCGGCGAACAGGAAGUGUCCAUAUUGCAGCGCUGAAACAGUAGCUCCCAAGACAGCCACCCUCUGAGGCCCCCUCGAGGCGGUGGAGGGGCGAGAGGGUGCCGGGGUCGCUCCCACACACACCCGGGACCCGCCUCUGCCCACCACAACGCCCGGCCGCCCCCGGCACCUCCCCGUGCACUACUUGGCGGGGCCCAGCCAGUCCCAACUGGGGCCGGACGAGGACUCCGAGCCCGACAUGUCUCGCUCCACUUCAAGCCAGAGGAGGGGGCGUUGCAAAGGCUCCGAGGUGCUUGGGGUACUUCCCUAACAGCAGAUUCCAGCCCCGAGCCGAGCCCUGAGGGUCCUUGGGGCCCCCUCCACGCCUUCCCGGAGAGACGACACCCCUCGCCGCGGUUUCCGCCGCGCGACAGCCCCUCCCGGGCGGUCAUUACCUCUCAGGAAAAACUCCUAACUCCUCACAAGCCACACUCCCCUCAGUUCGACAUCCCCCGGAGCCCACACACCACCCGAUACGCGCGCCGGGGACACCCCCGCGCCGGCGCAAAUUCCUCACUGGACAAAAAUGUCCGGGCGCGUCACGGGACAGCCGCCUCCGCGCCCCACGCCUGGCGCGGGUCGCUCGCGCUGCCUCCGCGCCCGGGAGCUGCGCCGCGGGCUGGGGCGGGGAGCGCCGACCCUGGAGGGGACCGCUCCGCCCGGGACUCACCGUCAGCUCGGCCGGGAGGCGAGGGACCGGCCGGGGAAGACACAAUAUGGCAGAGCACCGCAGCUGUUCCCUGCAGCUUCCAGCAGUCGCCUCCGGGAAGACGCGGCAACCAGCAGGCAGCAGCAGCUGCAGUGGCGGCCCCGGCAGCACCACAUCCCCCUCCCGCUCGCUUCCUCCCCCUCCCUCCCCUUCCCCGCUGCCAUGGCAACGCGGCGCCAAGGCGAUUAGCCCCACCCCUCCCUCCAGUCCCGCCUCCCGCGACCCCGAGGAAGGGGGCUCGGCCGGCCCCUCCCGGUUCCCGCCCACCUCCUACCGAAGGGAGGGGCCUGGGUUCCGGCUGGCUGCCUGGCACGGCGGCUGGGGUGGGGGUGAAAUGCAGGGUCCGGAAGGGCGGGGCUCACACGGAAAGCAGGGUGGAGGCGCUGUAGGCCGGUGCGGGUUUAGGGCUGAGCAGGGCAGGGGAAAGCGGGAAAAUGCAAAGGCCUCGCAUGUCCGAGGAAGGACCUAUAGGAGUGCGGCGGAGGCGCGGCGCGGCCGCUGAGUGGUCGAGGAGGCGCGGGGGCGGGGCUAGGCUGCCGCAGGGCAGUACGGCCCUCGGUGCCUGUGCCCGGGCUGAGGAGACCUUCCUCGACACCCCACGUUAUGUGGGUUUCCGCAAGACCUUCCGCCAUUGCCUGGGCUUUGAAAGCGCUUUAGGAACGAUACGGAAACGGAGGCUUAGAAGUGGAAACUUUACAGAUAUGGAAACUGAGACUUAGAAAAAUGACCCGUCAAAGAAAACGAAGAUCCCCAAAUCUGCUGUUAUGAUGAAUAAUCUAAGAGCACAAUUAUAAUCUGAGAUCUGAACCAGAGGUGGGAUUUCACCAUGUUGCCGAGACUGGUCUCAAACUCCUGAGCUCAAGUGAUCCUCCUACCUCAGCCUUCCGAGUAGUGGUGACUACGGACACAGGCCAUACACUUCACUGGAUGGAAGACAUUCUCCAGUAGUUUUCUGAAAAAGAGUAUGCAGAAGUUAAAUUUUCUGAGAUCUUGGUUGUCUGAAAAUGUCUUUAUUCUACCUUCCUGCUUGAUUGGUGCAGUAACUAGAUAAAGAAUUUGAGAUCAGGAAUGUUUUGCCUUUAGAAUGUUGAAGGCUUUGCUCCAUGAUGUCUAGUUUCAAGUGCUGCUAUUGAGAAAUCUCAAGCUAUUCUGAUUCCUAGUAUGUGACUGAUUUUUUGGUAGGAUUUUCAUUUUGUAUCCAAUGAAAUUUCAAAAUGAUAUGCCUUUGUAUGAGUCUAAUUUUCACUUAUUCUGUCGGGCAUCCAGAAGGCCCUUGCAGUCUAGAAACGGGUAAAUUCUCUCGAAUUAUUCAUUACUUCUUUCUUCUUCUCUGUUAUUUCGAUGUUGGAUCUCCUGACUGGGCUCCACUUUUCUUCUAAUUUCUCUUCUAUUUUCUUUCUUUUUUUUUUUUUUUUUUUUUUGCUCUAUUUUCUGGAGAAUUUUCUCGAAUUUAUAUUCCACAUUUCUAGUGACUUUUUUCAUUGCUGUUAUCACGUUUUCAAUGUUUAAGAGCUCUUUUUUUGUUGUUUUUUGAAUUUUUUCACAGCACUCUAUGUGCAAGAUCUUCUCUUGUCUUUCUGAGGAUAUUAAUAUACUUUUAAAAAUAUAUAGUUUAUUUUUCCUAAAAGGCUCUUUGUUCUAAGUUGUCUUUUUUCUAUUUGUUUGUUGUGAUGUUCAUUUUCCAUGUUAGGGUCUUUCCUCAGAUGUCUGGUAAUCCUUGGUUUUCUGUUCAUGAUUUAAAGUGAGGAACUAAUUUUCUCGGGUGUUGGAAAUGUUCCAUAUCCUGGUAGGGAUGUGAGUUACAUGGGUGUACACAUUUGUCAAAACUGCUUAAACUGUAUACUUACAAUCUGUGCAUUGCACUACUGUAUAAAUUAUACCUUAAAAAACCCACCCAAUUUAAAAAAAAUAAAACUAAAAACAAGUGAGGAAUGAAAACACUAGAAGCUCUGAGCAAGUGAGUGGGCCUUACCAAUCUAGAAAUUUACCUUUGGCCCAUCUGGGUGAACCAUUUGUUGGUACAGAACCCAGCCCUCAGUGGGGCCUGACAUUCCCCUGUCCUAAUACUCUCUUUUUCCUUCAAAAUGAGUAAACAUCCAGGCUAUACUAGGAUACAGGAGGACAGUUCCCCAGCAGUAUCGAGUGGGGGAAGCAGCUUUAAGGGCUUCACUACUUCUCAAUCAUCUUUCACCCAAUCCUCCUUAUAUCAGCAUGAUGCCCCUUCACCACAAUUCCAUUGUUACCUGGUAUAAAUAGUUGUUGAAACUUUUGAGACUUUUGCAAUGUAAAUUGAUUUGUUUCUUUGCUUUCUUCACUGCCACUAUCCAGCUUCUGAAAUAUUGUUGUUCUUGUCUCUACUCUUGUUCACCCAGUUCCAGAGGGAUUACAUCUUUUUUAGAAAAUAAAUCUCUUUAUUGUACCUUGUGUAGGAUUUCAAGAGGAAGAGAAAUAAGAUGUGUAUCCAAUCUACUACCUUAGAAUUCAGGAAAUCAGAAAUGUGGUUUUAAGCUCUCCAGCUUCUGCAAUACAGGAAGAUCCUCUAUAAGGAGUUUGGAAUCAAUGCUAAAAAUGACCCACCAACACUAACAUAUUCCACUCCUUUGGCCAGUUAACAUCUCUACAUAUCCUUCUGUCCAUACUUUAAUUUCUAAACAACAGUAGCAAUCCAAACAUGCUCUCACCUAACAAAAUGCCAUGAUCCUUUGUGCAAAUGAAAACAUGCUCAGUAUCUCUAUUAUUGGUUAUUAUCUAUAAUUAUGUGUGUGUUGAGUGGUUUCUGCAACUGAUCAUGAGGCCACAAUUUGUAUUCAUAACUUCCUUCCUUUGUACCAGCAAUACUGCUGUUUGGGGUUCAUUUUGUCUGUUAAUUCAAUUAGUGGUUGGACUAGACAUUUUGAACUGCCAAGAAGAAAAUUUCAAAUAAGUCUUCCCUAUCCUUCAUUAUUUUCAAAUGCAGAUCUCCAGCCUUCUGGCAUUGCAGGGAUAGUUUUGAUAUUACUGAAAAGAGAAAAGCAAAAAAGGGUCAUGUGUUGCACUUUUCUGUGAAGAUGAGGGUCCCAGGUGAAAAUCACAGCUAGACACCUGAGCACUUUUAAAAAGUUAAGCAAAUAUGGAUUCAUUUACUGAUAUAAGGAAGAUGGACAUGCCUUGGAUUCAAGGCCAGCAAGUGGUAAGGUUGCUAUGUUUGUUAUCCAAGUUAAGAAGCCUGACUGAUAUGGUUAGGCUUUGUGUCCCCACCUAAAUCUCAUCUUGAGUUGUAAUCCCCAUAAUCCCCACGUGUCAAGGAAGAAACCAGGUGGAGGUAAUUGAAUCAUGGGGCCGUUUCCCUCAUGCUGUUCUCGUGAUACUGAGUGAGUUCUCAGGAGAUCCGAUGGUUUUAUAAGGGGCUCUUCCCGCUUCACUCGGCAUUUCUUCCUGAUGGCUUGUGAAGAAGGUGUCUUGCUUACCCUUCGCCCUUCUCCGUGAUUGUAAAUUUCCUGAGGCCUCCCCAGUCACGCUGAACUGUGAGUCAAUUAAACCUCUUUCCUUCAUAAAUUACCCAGUCUUGGGCAGUCCUUUAUAGCAGUGUGAAAACGAACUAAUACACUGACUUUCUGUUCAAGAAAGCCAUCAACCGUGAUCCAGAGAUGGUCAGCAGGGGUAAUUGCAAGUAGAAUUAAGUUGGUCCUCAACAAGCAGUUUUGUAAGGGUAACACAUUUUUUUUCAGUGUCCUCCUUCCUCUCUCAUCGGCCCCAGUUUUUCCUUCUCUCCCCAGCCUGUAUUGCAUUUGUACCUGUCUCUGCUCAAAUACAAACUGUUUAUAAUGUCAACUGAUAAAAGACUGGUAUAACCCCUUUAAGAGUUAUUUGCAUUUCAAUAGAGGAUUCAUCGAAACUGAAAAGGUUUCAAAAUUAAAGAGUAGAACUUUACUGAUAAAAUAACAGAUGGUGAAAUUAAUCUGCCCCACCUCCACCUGAUUUUGAGCAGAAGGUCCCAUUAGCCUACCAUUCCACUGAAUUGCUCUGUAAUAUAGAUUAUAAUUAAUGAUGGGGCAGUAUUAUAUUCACAUCUCUUGACAGUCAGCCCAUGUUCAGACUCUAUUGUCAUAGAGCUGAAAGGUGAGCUUUAUUAAUUUAUAUUUCUAUUAUUAAGCCUAGAAUAUGUGCAUAGUGGUCAGCUUGUAUGUUUAUGAUACAGAGCUCUAGUCUGUCAACACAGGUUACAUCAUCUGCCAAAUUUAUACCUGGUCACUAGGAAAACUGACUUGGGGAACUAAUGGUAAUUUUCCCAGGUCUCUUUCAUCUGGCAAUUUUAACCACUUUUUUUUUUAAAUUUUUGUGGGUACAUAGUAGGUAUAUAUAUUUAUUGGGUACAUGAGAUGUUAUGAUACAGGUAUGCAAUGCAUAAUAAUCACAUCAUGGAAGAUGGGGUAUCCAUCCCCUCAAGCAUUUAUCCUUUGUGUUACAAACAAUCCAAUUAUAUUCUUUUAGUUAUUUGGAAAUGUACAAUGAAAUUAUUAUUGACUAUCG
This 5410-nucleotide long non-coding RNA is filed under the name Homo sapiens (human). Its description in RNAcentral is "non-protein coding lnc-FBXO11-1:6". Lineage: Eukaryota; Metazoa; Chordata; Mammalia; Primates; Hominidae. The record is from RNAcentral.